Molecule: ribosomal RNA, 481 nt
Filed under: uncultured Flavobacteriales bacterium
Lineage: Bacteria; Pseudomonadati; Bacteroidota; Flavobacteriia; Flavobacteriales
Description: bacterial SSU rRNA
Rfam family: Bacterial small subunit ribosomal RNA
Source: RNAcentral
GAUGAACGCUAGCGGCAGGCCUAACACAUGCAAGUCGAACGGUAAGUUAGAAGCUUGCUUUUAACACGAGUGGCGAACGGGUGCGUAACGCGUAUGCAAUCUACCCUUUUCUGGAGAAUAGCCCUUAGAAAUGAGGAUUAAUACUCCAUGGUACAACAAAUUCGCAUGUUUUUGUUGUUAAAGCUUCGGCGGAAAAGGAUGAGCAUGCGUCCCAUUAGUUUGUUGGUGAGGUAACGGCUCACCAAGACUGCGAUGGGUAGGGGGUCUGAGAGGAUUAUCCCCCACACUGGUACUGAGACACGGACCAGACUCCUACGGGAGGCAGCAGUGAGGAAUAUUGGUCAAUGGACGAAAGUCUGAACCAGCCAUGCCGCGUGCAGGAUGACGGCCCUACGGGUUGUAAACUGCUUUUAUAUAGGAAGAAACCCCUUUACGUGUAAAGGGUUGACGGUACUAUAAGAAUAAGGACCGGCUAACUCCG